GGGCAAACUGGGGUACUUAUUGAGUGAAAAGCAUUAUCUGUUUUCCUCAGUGUUAUCUUAUUUUAUUCUUGCCUCUAGGUACCGUCCUUGACUCAUGAUAUGUGUUCUCUCAGUGGUUGAGUGGGAAGGUCCUGACCUACUUAAUAUACCUUCAUUGACCUGUGCCAUCUCUAUGCUCCCUGCCCUAUUUUUGAUGGACAUUCCAUGUACCAGGUUUGCAUGAGAUCUACAGGCCUUUGCCUUCCAGUGCCUUCAUCACCCUUUUGUGUUUGGCUUCAGGCAUACAGCAUUGUACUCAAUUUCCUGGGUCUGCAAGAACCAAGACCACAUGUCCGGGCAAGUUUUCAAGCCAAUGCCUUUU
Molecule: long non-coding RNA, 361 nt
Organism: Mus musculus (house mouse)
Lineage: Eukaryota; Metazoa; Chordata; Mammalia; Rodentia; Muridae
Product: predicted gene, 35136
Exons: 3
Source: RefSeq, a predicted model, not a curated record